CUUUACGGUUGCCAGGCACUUCGAGGCCUACUUACUGUGGCUGUUCGGCUGGGUCAUGUUCUGCAGCUCGCAGGGUGACUCGUGCCCCAAACAUCUCAUUCCUUUAGCGAGGUCGAUAGCUGACGCUCCACUUCACGAGAUGCCACAGUUCAGCUGGGGUUCUGCUGUUUUGGCUACGAGUUACAGGGGUCUUUGCACGGGCGUGACGAAGGUCUCAGCAGAGGAGCCCAUUUUUGUUGGGUGUCCUCUACUGUUACAGCUCUGGUCUUACGAGCGUUUUCCCGUCGGUAGGCCAGAGAUGGACUUCGAGCCGUACGUCCAGCUGUCCGCAGACCACGACGACGUCGACAGACCUACGAUGGGUUCGUUGUGGUGCCUCAGGAGGCCUUCUUGGGUUGGCGUGCAGACGAGGAAGUCGUACCACGACUUCGUUGGACAGUUUGACGCUCUUGUGGACACGGACGUGAGGUGGACUCCGUACACUGCAGCCGACAUUUACGCCCGGGCACCGAGCGGUCUUUCGUCCUUAUGCCUGUGAGAUCACGAGUACUGGAUGACAAGGAAGCCGAUCCUUUACGACAUCCACAUCGAGGAGUACCACGUUCACCGGGUUAUGAGGCAGUUCGGUCUCUACCAACAGACCCCGGUCCCGAUUGUGCACUCAGUGGAGGCCCACGUCCACAGGUGGACACGGCAGGGUCGGCCACUAGGCUCGC
Molecule: long non-coding RNA, 716 nt
Organism: Panicum virgatum (switchgrass)
Lineage: Eukaryota; Viridiplantae; Streptophyta; Magnoliopsida; Poales; Poaceae
Exons: 3
Source: RefSeq, a predicted model, not a curated record